This 604-nucleotide long non-coding RNA is filed under the name Chrysemys picta bellii (western painted turtle). RNAcentral's name for it is "lncRNA (ENSCPBG00000010413.1)". Lineage: Eukaryota; Metazoa; Chordata; Testudines; Emydidae. The record is from RNAcentral.
AUGUCAUCAUCAAAUGUUUUAAGGGAUGACUACAGAAGUUCCUCCACUAUCUACCAUAUAUCUUAUAAACUACUUCUUAUAAACUUAGAGAAACAAGCUGUCCUUGCUUGUGGAGGGGAACUGGCAGGACAGCUCGGGACUGUUGCCAAAGGAGAACAAGUAGGAGGAGGUGGGCAAGGUUUCAGUGCAGUACUGCAGAUCGGAAGUCAUAUCACUGAAACUCUGACUGCCUUUCUGAAGAUCUUCCACUGUAGUUCCAGAAUUGUUACUAGAAGCAUGAUGAUGCAGCAGGACACAGCAGAUGUGACUCCUGUUUCCUGAGCAGUAAGGAUGGAAAUGUUUUGCAGAUUUACAUGAUGCACUCUCUAAUGACUUGAUGGGACAUCCUUCCUUUCUGCAUGAUCGAAGAUAUAGUUCUUUAUGACCCAGGGAGAAGGCGAACAAGGGGAAGAAUUGCGGGAAUGGUUGAAUAUUUGUUGCUAUUAGGAACUCACAGCAGCAACUCCUUUCCUGCAUGUUAAUGAACUGACUAGCAACUCAUACUGCAAUAGCACAGAGGGCAAUCUCUGGAGUGGGCUCUGCAGUCAGGUUGCUUGGAGUCCCA